CGAAAGUAGCGCGCCGACAGGCUGGACUGUGGGCUCUCGGGGUCGCUGUACUCCUCCGGCGCCGCCGGCGGGUAGGCGGGCUCGGCUGGCGCCAGCUCCAGGCCGGACUUCUGGUCCGCAUCGUAGCUGCUGGGGGCCUGCCUGAUUCAGCCUUUACCUCUCAUCUGGCACUUGGGAUGACCAAAGGGUGAAGUUUCUGCUGAUCAUUCCUCAACCCUGAAAGGGAAGGAAGCAUACUGGUGAAGAGCUUUGGUCCCAGACUGCCUGCAUUGAGUUCCAGUGUUAUCAUUCCCAGCUGUAUGACCUUGGACUAACUACUUGACCUCUCUGUGCUUGUUUCCCCAACUGUAAAAUGUAGGUUAAUAAAAUACUUUACUCACAGAGUUGCUGUAAGGAGUCUCUGAGUAAAUAGACAACAAGGGAAAAUGAACA
This is a long non-coding RNA of Erinaceus europaeus (western European hedgehog), 432 nucleotides long. RefSeq lists it as uncharacterized. Lineage: Eukaryota; Metazoa; Chordata; Mammalia; Eulipotyphla; Erinaceidae. The transcript has 3 exons. The record is from RefSeq and is a predicted model, not a curated record.